CAAAGUACGAUACCGCAUUUGCUUUUUCGUGACGUGAACAUUUUGUAGGACAUCAUAUAUGGACUGAUUUCGGACAAUAACAUUGUUGAAUACUUGAUUAAUAAUUUACUCAUGCUGGGCUGAGAGAAUCCUCUUCCUCUUCAUCUGUAACGACUGGGUACGUGUUCAUUAAGGGUGAAUGAUGCCCCCUGCUGCCCCCUCUGUUGCUUGAUCCUGAUUGCGGUCUUCCCUCUGCUACGAGAAUAGCAC
Paramisgurnus dabryanus is the source of this 249-nucleotide non-coding RNA. The record is from RefSeq and is a predicted model, not a curated record. Lineage: Eukaryota; Metazoa; Chordata; Actinopteri; Cypriniformes; Cobitidae.